AUGAGGCGUCGGGAGGUGUGGGGCCGGGAGAACAUUGCUCUGCCUGGUUUCCUAGGCGGAGGCAGGUGUGUUGUCGGCAGAGACCCUCACUCAGGCCAAGUGCGUGAUGUCUCUUCUUCUUCCGCAGACGCCGAGCCCGGCACCCGGGUACCUGUUCCGGACGUGCCGCUCCCAACCAUGACUCCCAGCACCGAGGAGGCUGACCACGACCACGACCACGACCCCGACCCCGACCACGACGCCGAGCCCGGCACCCGGGAACCUGUUCCGGACGUGCCGCUCCCAACCAUGACUCCCAGCACCGAGGAGGCUGACCACGACCACGACCACGACCACGACCACGACCACGACGCCGAGCCCGGCACCCGGGAACCUGUUCCGGACGUGCCGCUCCCAACCAUGACUCCCAGCACCGAGGAGGCUGACCACGACCACGACCACGACCACGACCACGACCACGACGCCGAGCCCGGCACCCGGGAACCUGUUCCGGACGUGCCGCUCCCAACCAUGACUCCCAGCACCGAGGAGGCUGACCACGACCACGACCACGACCACGACCACGACCACGGUAGGGGCCCGUGUGCCUUGUGUCCUCUGCCCCUGGGAGCCCGCUGGGUUGCCGGGGCUCCUUGAGCGAGAACGGGCUUUCCUAUUGCCUCCGGGACCGGGAAGGUGUCGCCAUGCGAUUCCUUGUCCCGAAACGCUGGCCUGUGCUCUGGAGCUGCGGGGACGUCCUCGGGGCUCUGCCCGGGAAGGAUGUGCUCCCUGGGGAGAGAGGGGCCGCGGUGCGAGUCAGGCGCUCCGAGACGGGGCCGUGUGUCCUCCCGGGUGCUCUGGUUGGCUGCACGCUGCCUGGGCCUGUCCGCAGGUUGUGCGUUUCUCUGCGUGGUGGUCUGCUAACCCGUGCGGGAGGGGCGUAGGCUUCCCCGCCCCCCACGUCUGCUCCCGCCAUGACCCCGGGGGUCUGGUGCAGCACUCCCAGCCCGCAUGCCUGGCGUGGCCACGGAGGCUGCGAGUGCAGAAGCCUCAUGGGACCCGGCGUGGAGUGCCCCACUGCCCCUGGUGGCCCAGUGUGCGCAGCGGACUUAGGCGCGGGCACGCUGGGCUCCGCGAGGGUGGUGCUCUGUGCCUCUGCCUCUCCUGAGACGUCCUUGCCUUCCUCUUGGCGUUGGCUGGUCUCCGAGCUCCCGGGACAGCGUCCAGGAGGCGUGGCCGCUGCCUGAGGACAAGUCCUCGAUGUGCCCUCUGACGCUGGCACGAGCGUGUUCUGGACCCGGGCCGUGCCCCCAGGCAGCUGGGGAGUUGUCUGCCUUGUAGUGCGGCGGGCCACCAGGAGAAUCUGACCCAGUGUCCUGGAUGGGCCAGUUCCCAGUCGUGCGCUCGUGGCCCAGACCAGACCCGGGCUGGUGUGUGGAGCCAGCCACGCGGGCCCGUCUGUCCUCCGUGCCCUGAGUGGGCGCAGAUGAGAGAGGGCGCGGUUGCUCCGUCCGCUUUUCUCCCCUCUCGCCCCCAUGCGGGGAGCCGUCCAGCGAGGCCUGGCUGGACUGAGCCCGUGCCGGACACGGUGCUCCGUUGCCGUCCUGGAGGGCCCAGAGGAUUGCUCGAGGUGUGCCCACCAGGCCCCUCCCCUGAG
Long non-coding RNA from Oryctolagus cuniculus (rabbit), 1636 nucleotides. The record is from Ensembl. NCBI's taxonomy places the organism in Eukaryota, Metazoa, Chordata, Mammalia, Lagomorpha, Leporidae.